GGCUGGCAGUGGGGUGAUCUUGGCUCACUGCAAUGUCUGCCUCCUGGGUUCAGGUGAUUCUCCUGCCUCAGCCUCCUGAGUAGCUGGGACUACAGGCGCCCACCACCAUGCCCUGCUGUUUUGUAUUUUUGAGAAAUGGAAUCGUCGUAUCGCUGAUCUACGUAAACAAACUGAAGAAUUGUCUGAAAGAAAAUAUGACAUGAACUUAUGAAUUCAACAGGUGAAGAUUUACAACUUGAUAAAUCAGCUUUGUGAGGUACGUCUUCAGUCUUAAGUCAGAUUAGAAGAUUAUGUGAGCUCGAGCUGUAAAAGCCAAAGGUCCGGUGAUGAUCCCAUACCCUUUUUUCCAGUCUCAUGUUGAAGAUUUUUAUGUAGAAGGCCUUCCCAAAGGAAUUUUUUUUUUUUUUUUUGAGAUGGAGUUUUCACUCUUAUCGCCCAGGCUGGGGUGCAAUGGCGCAACCUUGCUGGUCACUGCAACCUCUGCCUCCUGGGUUCAAGAAAUUCUCCUGCCUUAGCCUCCCAAGUCGUUGGGAUUACAGGUGCCCACCACCACACCAGGCUAAUUUUUGUAUUUUUAGUGGAGAUGGGGUUUCACCAUGUUGGCCGGGCCAGUCUCGAACUCCUGACGUCAAGUGAUCUUCCCGCCUCGACUCCUGACAUCAAGUGAUCUUCCCGCCUCGGCCUUCCAGAGUGCUGAGAUUACAGACGUGAACCCAUGCCUGGCCAGGAAUUUUGUUUUUUAGGAAGGCUUUCUACUAAUGGAAUUCCUGGCCUUGAGAGGAUGUUACUUUCAAAGGAAAGGAUUUUUUUGUUAUUAAAAGAAACAGGACCUUGCCCUGUCACUCAGGAUGGAGUUCAGUGGUCCUAUCAUGGCUCAUUAUAGCCUCAAACUCCCAGGCUCAAGCAAUCCUACCAUGUCAGCCUUCCCGUAGCUGGGACUACAGAGACGAGGUUUCGCCGUGUUUCCCAGACUGUUCUCAAACUCCUGAGCUCAAAGCAGUCCACCCACCUUGGCCUCCCAGAGUGCUGGGAUUACAGGUGUGAGCCAUCUUGCUCAUUCUAGUUUAAACUUUUGAGUGGUUUGUGUCUCCUGAUUGGACUCCUACAAAUACAGAAUUGAUGCUAGGAAGGGUACCAGGAGAUAGACGCACACAGAUGGGAUUUGGGAAUAGGUUUGGUUAUCCAAGGAGCAGUGCUGAGCUCCUUGCUAAUGGGAUAUGGGAUGCUGGUGAUUUCCAGGAAGUGAGCUCACAAUGACUCAAGCUGCCACAUACUGUUGAUUGUGAAAUGCCAGUUGAAGCAUAUGUCCUGCGAGAUUAGGGGUGCUACAAGUUGACGACUGCAGCAGUAAAGAUGACUCUGAAGAAUGGCGUGGGAUGGAUCCUUUCAAAUGCACUUGAGCAGCGGUCUCCAACCACAGGGCCACAGAGCUGGAGCUGGAUCUACCAUGAAGGACUUCUGAAUCCAGGAAGAGAGACUGACUGGGCAACAUGUUAUUCAGGAGAUGGGGUCUCACCCUGUCACCCAGGCUUGAGUACAGUAGUGCUAUCACAGCUCACUGCAGCCUUGAACUCCUGGGCUAAGGGUACUCCUACCUGAGCCUCCUGAGUAGCUAGGACUGUAGGUAUACAUGACGAUACUUGGCUAAUUUUUAAAUUGUUUUGUAGACAUGGGGUCUCACUUUGUUGGCCAGGCUGGUGUCAAACUAAUGGCCUCAAGUGACCCUUCCACCCCUGCCUCCCAUCCUAGAGGUAUGUGCCACCACAAGGAGCACUUGUUCAAUUUUCUAAAGAAAAAAUUUCUAAAGUAAGGCUGUGGGAUGAUGGCAGGAAGAUAAAAGAAAAACAGAAGAAUAAGUUAAAAUGACUUAUUCACACAUAUUCUUUUGACAGCAAGAAGAACUUUUAGUAUAUACAUUCCUUACAAACAAACAAACGGCAGAUAAACAACGUUGUAUAGGAACUUCAACACACACUGUACAAUAUUCCCACUUUGCUGACAUAAGUUAUGGAAAUUUCGUGGUUUA
Gorilla gorilla gorilla (western lowland gorilla) is the source of this 2026-nucleotide RNA transcript. RefSeq lists it as uncharacterized. The transcript has 8 exons. The record is from RefSeq and is a predicted model, not a curated record. NCBI's taxonomy places the organism in Eukaryota, Metazoa, Chordata, Mammalia, Primates, Hominidae.